CUCUUAUCCAGAGCGGCGGAGGGACUAGGCCCUGCGAUGCCCGGCAACCAGUAAGCGACGAGCUUGCAAAGGUGCUACUUCCUACAGACGCGUGAGGCGGUCUGAAAGAUAAGAG
RNAcentral lists this non-coding RNA (115 nucleotides) under Sporosarcina sp. RNAcentral's name for it is "SAM-I sequence". It matches the Rfam family "SAM riboswitch aptamer (S box leader)". From Rfam's summary of the family: The SAM riboswitch is found upstream of a number of genes which code for proteins involved in methionine or cysteine biosynthesis in Gram-positive bacteria. Lineage: Bacteria; Bacillati; Bacillota; Bacilli; Caryophanales; Caryophanaceae. RNAcentral also lists the same sequence under 1 other name. The record is from RNAcentral.